This 253-nucleotide ribosomal RNA is filed under the name uncultured bacterium. RNAcentral's name for it is "partial 16S ribosomal RNA". It matches the Rfam family "Bacterial small subunit ribosomal RNA", at positions 524 to 775 of the family's 1533-position model. The record is from RNAcentral.
GACGAACCGUGCGAACGUUAUUCGGAAUCACUGGGCUUAAAGCGCGUGUAGGCGGGCCGGCACGUCCGGCGCUGAAAUCCCCCGGCUCAACCGGGGAACGGGCGCGGAUACGACCGGUCUGGAGGGGCGUAGGGGGACCUGGAACUUCCGGUGGAGCGGUGAAAUGCGUUGAGAUCGGAAGGAACGCCCGUGGCGAAAGCGAGGUCCUGGACGCUUACUGACGCUGAGACGCGAAAGCCAGGGGAGCGAACGG